This 731-nucleotide unclassified non-coding RNA is filed under the name Hevea brasiliensis (rubber tree). Lineage: Eukaryota; Viridiplantae; Streptophyta; Magnoliopsida; Malpighiales; Euphorbiaceae. The record is from RNAcentral.
CUCUAAGUACCAAAUCACAAACAAAAUGUUAAUCUUCUGAGUUAAUAACAACACAGCAUAGAAAUGGGUGGCAAAGCGAAAUUUCCCCAUACUUACAAAAAGGAAGCCAUGCUCAGCGGAUGUUCCAACAAUCUCAUGCAAACAUCCAACAUUUCAGCACCAGAAAUUCUUUUCAAAAUGACGAUGAUAAUCUCAAAGUUGAAUCUUUAAUAUAAGCUGCAGUGCACAUGUUCUGACCAGGCCAUAUCUGCAAAUGUUUUGGCCAUGCCAGGUUCCAUUACAAAUUCAUCUCAAUGAAGCAGUCUCCACAUGNNNNNNCAGAACCAAUUUGAAACACUGAAGUCCCGCAGCUUGCUGAGAUGCUUCUCCAUGUCUUGUCUAGUCUUGGUCCAUUCUUCUCUCUCUAUUACCGUGGUUGGAUCAUCUCUUUCACUCGCAUGAACUAUUUUGAAGGAGGUCCCAUUAUCACGUAUUACAAGCAAGUCACUCUUCCUAUCCCUAUUUCUUCCUCCAGGAACCGUAACCACUACUUUUUCUCUGGUUAUUGACUUUGUUUUGGAAUCAAUAACAUAUAUCUCCUCAAAAUCUAGCACAAAUUCCGGGUCACCUAAUCUUCGGUUCCUGUAGUGCUUUGUCAAGAAAACCUUCAAAAUCUCUCGCUCAGAUUUAUACAUAGGAUCUCGUGGUGCAUCAAUGGGCGGUUCUGUUACAUUGUAACGUCCAUAAUCACU